This 253-nucleotide ribosomal RNA is filed under the name uncultured bacterium. Its description in RNAcentral is "partial 16S ribosomal RNA". It matches the Rfam family "Bacterial small subunit ribosomal RNA", at positions 524 to 776 of the family's 1533-position model. The record is from RNAcentral.
UACGUAGGGGCCGAGCGUUGUCCGGAGUUACUGGGCGUAAAGCGCGCGCAGGCGGCUCGUCAAGCCUGACGUGAAAGCCCCCGGCUCAACCGGGGAGGGUCGUCGGGGACUGGCGGGCUUGAGGUCGGCAGGGGUUGGUGGAAUUCCCGGUGUAGUGGUGAAAUGCGUAGAGAUCGGGAGGAACACCAGUGGCGAAGGCGACUUCCUGGCCUGUUCUUGACGCUGAGGCGCGAAAGCUAGGGGAGCAAACGGG